UAAAGAAUAGUUUAAUGGGAAAAACGAAGAACUUUGACUUCUCUGUUGCGGGUUC
Molecule: transfer RNA, 55 nt
Filed under: Mespilia globulus
Lineage: Eukaryota; Metazoa; Echinodermata; Echinoidea; Temnopleuroida; Temnopleuridae
Description: tRNA-Gln
Rfam family: tRNA
About the family: Transfer RNA (tRNA) molecules are approximately 80 nucleotides in length.
Source: RNAcentral